CCUACGUGAGGCUGCAGUGGGGAAUAUUGGACAAUGGGCGAAAGCCUGAUCCAGCCAUGCCGCGUGUGUGAAGAAGGCCUUCGGGUUGUAAAGCACUUUCAGUGGGGAAGAAAGCCUUGGGGCUAAUACCCUCGAGGAAGGACAUCACCCACAGAAGAAGCACCGGCUAACUCCGUGCCAGCAGCCGCGGUAAUACGGAGGGUGCGAGCGUUAAUCGGAAUUACUGGGCGUAAAGCGCGCGUAGGCGGUCUGAUAAGCCGGUUGUGAAAGCCCCGGGCUCAACCUGGGAACGGCAUCCGGAACUGUCAGGCUAGAGUGCAGGAGAGGAAGGUAGAAUUCCCGGUGUAGCGGUGAAAUGCGUAGAGAUCGGGAGGAAUACCAGUGGCGAAGGCGGCCUUCUGGACUGACACUGACGCUGAGGUGCGAAAGCGUGGGUAGCAAACAGGAUUAGAUACCCGUGUAGUC
RNAcentral lists this ribosomal RNA (465 nucleotides) under Vreelandella stevensii. RNAcentral describes it as "partial 16S ribosomal RNA". It matches the Rfam family "Bacterial small subunit ribosomal RNA", at positions 338 to 795 of the family's 1533-position model. Lineage: Bacteria; Pseudomonadati; Pseudomonadota; Gammaproteobacteria; Oceanospirillales; Halomonadaceae. The record is from RNAcentral.